RNAcentral lists this ribosomal RNA (867 nucleotides) under Sanghuangporus sanghuang. RNAcentral's name for it is "partial 25S large subunit ribosomal RNA". It matches the Rfam family "Eukaryotic large subunit ribosomal RNA", at positions 95 to 938 of the family's 3401-position model. The record is from RNAcentral. Lineage: Eukaryota; Fungi; Basidiomycota; Agaricomycetes; Hymenochaetales; Hymenochaetaceae.
GAAGCGGGAAGAGCUCAAAUUUAAAAUCUGGCGGCCUUCUGGACGUCCGAGUUGUAGUCUGGAGAAGUGUUAUCCGCGUCGGACCGUGUACAAGUCUCCUGGAACGGAGCGUCAUAGAGGGUGAGAAUCCCGUCCAUGACACGGACGCCCGAUGCUAUGUGAGGCACUCUCGAAGAGUCGAGUUGUUUGGGAAUGCAGCUCAAAAUGGGUGGUAAAUUCCAUCUAAAGCUAAAUAUUGGCGAGAGACCGAUAGCGAACAAGUACCGUGAGGGAAAGAUGAAAAGCACUUUGGAAAGAGAGUUAAACAGUACGUGAAAUUGUUGAAAGGGAAACGCUUGAAGUCAGUCGCGUCCCGUGGAACUCAGCCUGGUUUCGACCUGGUGUACUUUCCAUGUGGACGGGUCAACAUCAAUUUCGGCCGGUGGACAAGGGCGAGGGGAAUGUAGCGUUGCUUCGGCGACGUGUUAUAGCCCCCCGUCGCAUACACUGGCUGGGAUUGAGGACCGCAGCACGCCCUUGUGGCCGGGGGUUCGCCCCACGUAACGUGCUUAGGAUGUUGGCAUAAUGGCUUUAAGCGACCCGUCUUGAAACACGGACCAAGGAGUCUAACAUGCUUGCGAGUGUUCGGGUGGAAAACCCUUGCGCGUAAUGAAAGUGAAAGUUGGGAACCUCCGCGAGGGGGUGCACCGACGCCCGGCCCUGACGUUCUCUGACGGUGCCGCGGUAGAGCACGUAUGUUGGGACCCGAAAGAUGGUGAACUAUGCCUGAAUAGGGCGAAGCCAGAGGAAACUCUGGUGGAGGCUCGUAGCGAUUCUGACGUGCAAAUCGAUCGUCAAAUUUGGGUAUAGGGGCGAAAGACUAAUCGA